GACGAACGCUGGCGGCGUGCAUAACACAUGCAAGUCAAGGGGGUCAGUAGCAAUACUGGCAACCGGCGAACGGGUGCGUAACACGUAAGCGACCUACCUCAAUGUGGGGCAUAGCCGGCCUAACGGCCGGGUAAUUCCGCAUGUGAUCUUGGAGGGGCAUCUCUCCGGGAUGAAACCAGUAAUGGGCAUUGAGAGGGGCUUGCGGCCUAUCAGCUUGUUGGUGAGGUAACGGCUCACCAAGGCUACGACGGGUAGCUGGUCUGAGAGGAUGGCCAGCCACAUUGGGACUGAGAACGGCCCAGACUCCUACGGGAGCAGCAGUGGGGAAUAUUGGACAAUGGGCGCAAGCCUGAUCCAGCAAUGCCGCGUGAGUGAAGAAGGUCUUCGGAUUGUAAGC
Molecule: ribosomal RNA, 397 nt
Filed under: uncultured bacterium
Lineage: Bacteria
Description: bacterial SSU rRNA
Rfam family: Bacterial small subunit ribosomal RNA
Source: RNAcentral